Molecule: ribosomal RNA, 338 nt
Filed under: uncultured Anoxybacillus sp.
Lineage: Bacteria; Bacillati; Bacillota; Bacilli; Caryophanales; Anoxybacillaceae
Description: bacterial SSU rRNA
Rfam family: Bacterial small subunit ribosomal RNA
Source: RNAcentral
UGCAUGGUUGUCGUCAGCUCGUGUCGUGAGAUGUUGGGUUAAGUCCCGCAACGAGCGCAACCCUCGACCUUAGUUGCCAGCAUUCAUUGGGGCACUCUAAGGUGACUGCGGCUAAAAGUCGGAGGAAGGUGGGGGAUGACGUCAAAUCAUCAUGCCCCUUAUGACCUGGGCUACACACGUGCUACAAUGGGCGGUACAAAGGGUCGCGAACCCGCAGGGGGAGCCAAUCCCAAAAAGCCGCUCUCAGUUCGGAUUGCAGGCUGCAACUCGCCUGCAUGAAGCCGGAAUCGCUAGUAAUCGCGGAUCAGCAUGCCGCGGUGAAUACGUUCCCGGGUCUU